UUGACCUCAAAUCAGGUAGGACUACCCGCUGAACUUAAGCAUAUCAAUAAGCGGAGGAAAAGAAACUAACAAGGAUUCCCCUAGUAACUGCGAGUGAAGCGGGAAGAGCUCAAAUUUGAAAUCUGGCAGUUCUUGAACUGUCCGAGUGUAAUCAGAGAAG
This 160-nucleotide ribosomal RNA is filed under the name Inocybe sp. KGP59. RNAcentral describes it as "partial 28S ribosomal RNA". It matches the Rfam family "Eukaryotic large subunit ribosomal RNA", at positions 1 to 157 of the family's 3401-position model. The record is from RNAcentral. Lineage: Eukaryota; Fungi; Basidiomycota; Agaricomycetes; Agaricales; Inocybaceae.